AUAGGAGAGCACUCAGCUGCAGGUCCGGCUUUCAUCCUAGAUUUUUCCAGGCCAGCAACCAAAACAAUGUCUGAGCUUUUGACUGUGGAAUCAAUCUGGGCUCCACCUGCACAUGGACGCUGUCUUUUACAGCCCUGAGGAGUUUUCACAAUGCCUGUUGGGCUCUGUUAACGCCUCUGUAGGAAAGACAUGACUCCAAAGAAGUUUGGCUGCUGAUCAGCCCUAAGGCCUGGGAAUUCAACCAUCAACAGACUCACCCGAAAGACUAAGGAUUUGGAAUGGCACAUGCUGCCGUCUCUCAGUGCCCCAUGACUACUAUCUUCUGCUUUCAUCUCUUCAGAUCAAGGUUCAAAACCCUUUGAGCCUAAGGGAACAAGUUUUGCUCCAUCAUUGGUUCCUGUGACCGUGGGCUGUUGUGUCAUUUGUCCAAAGCAGCGGGAUCAACUGGUCAU
Long non-coding RNA from Mus musculus (house mouse), 452 nucleotides. RefSeq annotates it as predicted gene, 41814. The transcript has 3 exons. NCBI's taxonomy places the organism in Eukaryota, Metazoa, Chordata, Mammalia, Rodentia, Muridae. The record is from RefSeq and is a predicted model, not a curated record.